RNAcentral lists this ribosomal RNA (253 nucleotides) under uncultured bacterium. RNAcentral describes it as "partial 16S ribosomal RNA". It matches the Rfam family "Bacterial small subunit ribosomal RNA", at positions 524 to 776 of the family's 1533-position model. The record is from RNAcentral.
UACGUAGGGUCCGAGCGUUGUCCGGAAUUACUGGGCGUAAAGAGCUCGUAGGUGGUUUGUCGCGUUGUCCGUGAAAACUCACAGCUCAACUGUGGGCGUGCGGGCGAUACGGGCAGACUGGAGUACUGCAGGGGAGACUGGAAUUCCUGGUGUAGCGGUGGAAUGCGCAGAUAUCGGGAAGAACACCCGUGGCGAAGGCGGCUCUCUGGAACGCAACUGACGCUGAGACGCGAAAGCGUGGGGAGCAAACAGG